AGUAUUCUGGACAGUGAACAUUGGCUUUUAUGUGUCAUUGCUUAUUCUUUAUUUUUAGAUUAUAUUAUUAUAUUGGUGUGAUAUGAAAAUUUUUACUGAACUGUAAAACUCACACCCUUCAUCUUUCUUUUCUUCUCAGAGUUACAAGAUGUCCAUGGUUGGCUAUGGUAUGGAUUUGUGAGUGAGCGGAUGCAUAGAUAGGUACCGUUGAUACCUGAUC
Molecule: long non-coding RNA, 220 nt
Filed under: Elaeis guineensis (African oil palm)
Lineage: Eukaryota; Viridiplantae; Streptophyta; Magnoliopsida; Arecales; Arecaceae
Description: long non-coding RNA (EGUI_LNC000324)
Source: RNAcentral